AGUGAACGCUGGCGGUAGGCCUAACACAUGCAAGUCGAACGGCAGCACAGUAAGAGCUUGCUCUUACGGGUGGCGAGUGGCGGACGGGUGAGGAAUACAUCGGAAUCUACUUUUUCGUGGGGGAUAACGUAGGGAAACUUACGCUAAUACCGCAUACGACCUACGGGUGAAAGCAGUGGAUCUUCGGACCUUGCGCGAUUGAAUGAGCCGAUGUCGGAUUAGCUAGUUGGCGGGUGAAAGGCCCACCAAGGCGACGAUCCGUAGCUGGUCUGAGAGGAUGAUCAGCCGCACUGGAACUGAGACACGGACCAGACGCCUACGGGAGGCAGCAGUGGGGAAUAUUGGACAAUGGGCGCAAGCCUGAUCCAGCCAUACCGCGUGGGUGAAGAAGGCCUUCGGGGUGUAAAGCCCUUUUGUUGGGAAAGAAAAGCAGCAGGUUAAUACCCCGCUGUUCUGACGGUACCCAAAGAAUAAGCACCGGCUAACUUCGUG
RNAcentral lists this ribosomal RNA (492 nucleotides) under uncultured bacterium. RNAcentral describes it as "partial 16S ribosomal RNA". It matches the Rfam family "Bacterial small subunit ribosomal RNA", at positions 29 to 507 of the family's 1533-position model. The record is from RNAcentral.